Molecule: transfer RNA, 75 nt
Filed under: Cupriavidus sp. UYMU48A
Lineage: Bacteria; Pseudomonadati; Pseudomonadota; Betaproteobacteria; Burkholderiales; Burkholderiaceae
Description: tRNA-Lys
Rfam family: tRNA
About the family: Transfer RNA (tRNA) molecules are approximately 80 nucleotides in length. Their secondary structure includes four short double-helical elements and three loops (D, anti-codon, and T loops).
Source: RNAcentral
GGGGCGUAGCUCAGUUGGUAGAGCAGCGGACUCUUAAUCCGUAGGUCGAGUGUUCGAGUCACUCACGCCCCACCA